AAGUCGUAACAAGGUUUCCGUAGGUGAACCUGCGGAAGGAUCAUUAAAGAGAGGAGCCCCGCGCUCCAGGGGGUUCGCCCCGCCUCUCAACCCCGUGAAAAUUAUACCUCUGUUGCUUUGGCGGGCCUUGGGGUCACGCUCAUGCCGGGCUCUCCAGCCCGGCGAGUGCCCGCCGGAAGCCUACCAAAAAUCGUUUAAACAAUGCUGUCAGAGUCUAAACACAAAUAAAGCAAAA
Molecule: unclassified non-coding RNA, 235 nt
Filed under: plant metagenome
Description: partial contains small subunit ribosomal RNA and internal transcribed spacer 1
Rfam family: Eukaryotic small subunit ribosomal RNA (bases 1-46)
Source: RNAcentral